This 431-nucleotide ribosomal RNA is filed under the name uncultured bacterium. RNAcentral describes it as "bacterial SSU rRNA". It matches the Rfam family "Bacterial small subunit ribosomal RNA", at positions 156 to 573 of the family's 1533-position model. The record is from RNAcentral.
AGAGGUGCUAAUACCGCAUGAUAUCGAGAGGGCUCUGGCCUUUUCGAUUAACGGUUGGGAUCUUCGGACCAACCGCUCGAGGAUGGGCCCGCGGCUGAUUAGCUAGUUGGUGGGGUAAUGGCCUACCAAGGCGACGAUCAGUAGCCGGCCUGAGAGGGCGAUCGGCCACACUGGAACUGAGACACGGUCCAGACUCCUACGGGAGGCAGCAGUGAGGAAUUUUGGACAAUGGGCGAAAGCCUGAUCCAGCAACGCCGCGUGGACGAUGAAGGUCUUCGGAUCGUAAAGUCCUGUCGAGUGGGAAGAAUUGCAGAGGGGUUAAUAGCCUUUCUGCCUGACUGUACCACCAGAGGAAGCCCCGGCUAACUCCGUGCCAGCAGCCGCGGUAAUACGGAGGGGGGUUCGGAAUUAUUGGGCGUAAAGGGCGCGUA